UACGGGGGGGGCAAGCGUUGUUCGGAAUUACUGGGCGUAAAGGGCGCGUAGGCGGCCAACUAAGUCAGACGUGAAAUCCCUCGGCUUAACCGGGGAACUGCGUCUGAUACUGGAUGGCUAGAGGUUGGGAGAGGGAUGCGGAAUUCCAGGUGUAGCGGUGAAAUGCGUAGAUAUCGAGAGGAACACCUGCGGCGAAGGCGGGUAGCUGGGCCGACACUGACGCUGAGGCGCGAAAGCCAGGGGAGCGAACGGG
This 253-nucleotide ribosomal RNA is filed under the name uncultured bacterium. RNAcentral's name for it is "partial 16S ribosomal RNA". It matches the Rfam family "Bacterial small subunit ribosomal RNA", at positions 524 to 776 of the family's 1533-position model. The record is from RNAcentral.